Long non-coding RNA from Helianthus annuus (common sunflower), 433 nucleotides. RefSeq lists it as uncharacterized. The transcript has 2 exons. Lineage: Eukaryota; Viridiplantae; Streptophyta; Magnoliopsida; Asterales; Asteraceae. The record is from RefSeq and is a predicted model, not a curated record.
GAUAAGGUUGGACAAUUCUUUUGUUCUGAUUCUCAUGCUUACAAGUUGCAAGAACUGUAAUCUAGCACACAUCUCCUACGAUAUAUUUGAUGAACAACUCGAUUUCAUCAUGAAUGAACUUCUUAAAAGGAAAGUCUUUUGCAUGCUAGGCACGGAACAAUCUUUCGAAUACAUGGCAUUCAAGACUCAGGUACUCAUUACAGCGAAUUUCGGGAGGUAAAGUUCAGUAGCCCAGAAUUUAUAAGUGGAAUGUGACAUCUGUUGAUACCGACGUCUUUAAAGAAAUUGGUCCCUCAAGUGGUCUCAAGUUGUAAAUCGAUUCUCACAGGUGUUGUUAACCUUUUGUUUUCUCUGAGAGUAGAGUUAGUUUUGUAUCAUCUCCAUACAUUUUUUUUGUACUUUUGACUGUUUAUAUUCUUCUCUUUUUCCUCAA